CCCGCCCCGAUUUUUUUUAUUUUUGAAAAAAUUACGAUUUCCGGAUUUUGUUCAUUUCCGUUACCGGUAACCGUCGAUAAUUUCGUUUCAUGUAAAAUUUCCUGUUUCAAAUUUCGGUUUUCGUAUUUCUUAGAGUAUUCUUACUGAAUGAUUAAGUCAAUAUAUUCUGCUGAUCUAUGAUGACAACAUCAUUUACCGAGAAUAGAGAUUGAUUACGAGAAGGGCAUGAAAUAUUCGGGUUACGAGUAAUACGCUGUGUUCAAGAACGCAAAUCACCGCAAGUCACACUUUCGAUCUAUUUUAUUUAUACAAUGACUUUGUGUCAGGAAAUUUGGACUGUGAAUGAAACCCAAAAGCGUAAGAAUCGUGGAACACAUUUGACUGGAAUAAAGAAAUUGACACGAGCAUGAACUUUUUAGAUUGGUGACCGUAUAUUGAGUUCAGAAAAUCGACAAACAUACGCAUUUUUAAUUUAUUAAUUUUAGCAAGCUCUUAGAUUAAGAAUUAGCCAUGGCUUUCGUUUUUUGUAGAAAAAACAGCAAACA
RNAcentral lists this long non-coding RNA (545 nucleotides) under Mytilus galloprovincialis (Mediterranean mussel). Lineage: Eukaryota; Metazoa; Mollusca; Bivalvia; Mytilida; Mytilidae. The record is from RNAcentral.